RNAcentral lists this ribosomal RNA (492 nucleotides) under uncultured bacterium. RNAcentral describes it as "partial 16S ribosomal RNA". It matches the Rfam family "Bacterial small subunit ribosomal RNA", at positions 29 to 507 of the family's 1533-position model. The record is from RNAcentral.
AGUGAACGCUGGCGGUAGGCCUAACACAUGCAAGUCGAACGGCAGCACAGUAAGAGCUUGCUCUUACGGGUGGCGAGUGGCGGACGGGUGAGGAAUACAUCGGAAUCUACUUUUUCGUGGGGGAUAACGUAGGGAAACUUACGCUAAUACCGCAUACGACCUACGGGCGAAAGCAGGGGAUCUUCGGACCUUGCGCGAUUGAAUGAGCCGAUGUCGGAUUAGCUAGUUGGCGGGGUAAAGGCCCACCAAGGCGACGAUCCGUAGCUGGUCUGAGAGGAUGAUCAGCCACACUGGAACUGAGACACGGUCCAGACUCCUACGGGAGGCAGCAGUGGGGAAUAUUGGACAAUGGGCGCAAGCCUGAUCCAGCCAUACCGCGUGGGUGAAGAAGUCCUUCGGGUUGUAAAGCCCUCUUGUUGGGAAAGAAAAGCAGCAGGUUAAUACCCCGCUGUUCUGACGGUACCCAAAGAAUAAGCACCGGCUAACUUCGUG